Molecule: long non-coding RNA, 5260 nt
Organism: Taeniopygia guttata (zebra finch)
Lineage: Eukaryota; Metazoa; Chordata; Aves; Passeriformes; Estrildidae
Source: Ensembl
UGGCUGCUCUCUUGUUCCUGUGGGCCCACACAAACAGCUGAACAAACAGCAGUAAUAUCUGUGGGAAAGACAGAAUGAUUUUGCCCCUCUUUCUCCAAGUUUCUUCAUUUUUCUAUAACCCUGCCUGCCUCCUCAGGAUGUUCCAGCUCCUCACCUUGGCACAUGGUGCCCAAAAAUUGUGAUGCUUUACUCAAGGUGGCACCAAGCACUGCAGUCCUGCCAGGACUGGUGUCUCUAGCCAUGUGUGGGGGAAUCUCUCUGCUUUCAGCCACAUCCUUGCUGGUGUUUGGGUAAAACAGUGCCCAGCUCUUGCUAAUCUCUAGUAUUCAUGACAACAUGAUGUUCCAAAACAAAGCAUGAAGAAAGAGAUGAAAACUGGAUUAUUUUUUAAACAGUGUGACUGGGAGUAGUCACUUAAUUUCUGGGUUUGAGUUUUCAGACUACAAUAAUUUUUAAGUACUGUUCUACCUUUCCCUUCUCUUACUGCCUUAUCCAUUUAUCCUCCACCUCAAACAUAAAAGCUAAGUAUCCUUCAUCCCAAACAUAAAGAGUGAUUGUUUUUCCCCGUUUAAAUCCAGGAAUCUCUUUAAUCCUGUAUGUGAGACAAUGGGAAACAUACCAGGAGGUGAGAGAAGAGGCUUGGCAACACAAGAGAGAAUGCACUAAACCAGUUAUUUAUUUUCCAAUCAUUAAACUCCACAGCCUAGAGUUACUGGUCUUUAUAGCAGCCUGGUCAAAUAGAAAAAGACACAGGGCAGAAGAGAAAGGUCCUAUGUUUCCAAACUGAUGCAUGGACAAGGUGCCAAAUGAUCGCAUUUCAUUCAUUUGCCACAAACUAGGUUAGCUUUGAGCUUGAAGGAGAGAAAAUAGCAGGUUUUUAAGUACUGCUUCUGGGUCUGGCAUCAACAUUUCUGUUGCCAUAAUGAGUCAGACAUCAGAGGCAAUACACAUGAAAGGAUGCAGGCCAGUGCUUAGGCAAACAGAAGUGGGAAAGCAGAACUGAAAAAUAAGUGCACGCGUCAGGGAAGAAGGACUCUAUAAUCACAAAACUUUUGCAAACUAUAACCUCAAUUUCCUUUAUUUCAUCAAAUAUAUUCACUUUAAAAUAAACCUACUACCAUCCCCACCACCAAUACAAAAACCCCUCCAGAAUUCUGGGCAAAGUUAAUUUGCCAGAGGCAGAGUUUGUUCUGUUAAUGGCCAUUUGCCAUGUACCAAUGCCACAGUCCCCAAAUGCUCUUGCACAUUUCCCAUCAGGCAAGUACACACAUGAUUAAGAACAUUUGAGCAGUCAUCCUUAGAACUGUGAAAAACAUUAAUCCUUAAAUGAAGGGAAAUCAGUCUUCUGAGCCACAGAAACCAUGGCCUCAGAUGCUCCUUCCCUUUGCCUUUUGUCAGGGCUCCUGAAGGGAUGUUGGAUGAUUAGGGGUAGAUAACUGGCUGUGGCAACAGACUGUGGGGUGGGAAGUGCAUUCAUGGUGCAUUCAUUUCAAACUCUGAUUUGCACCCUUGCUUGGGGGCUUCACUGGGAACUCAGAGCAGUCCAGACACAUAUUUGGCACUUUUCAGCUGUCAAGUAACUCUCUCAAUUGCUCUCUUACACCUCACAUUUUCAUUGUCUUUUCUUCCUCCUUUCUUUUUCAGACCAUCCCUGCUUCUCUGACUCCUCUUUCAAUGUGUAUCAUCAUUACCUAGAGAGUUGAUAUGUGUUGCUUGGUGCUCUUCUUUACUACUCUUUGUUCUCUCCAACACUUUAUCAAACAUAAUUGUCACAAAGAAAAUUUUUAUUCCAAGAAGCUUCAGUGAUCUGCUAAUCAACUAGUACAAAAUAUUCAACUAGAAAACUCUAGAAGAUCUCCCAUGUCCCUUCCUGCCCUCCAUUACUAGGCUUCCUUUGCUAUAUCAGGACUUGUCUGUUGACAAUUUUAAUAACGUGACUGAUUAAUGGGGAACUUUUCAUUUUAUUUUGACCAACAACUGUACUAAUAGAGUUUCAUCACUCUAUAGUACAGUUGAAUUGAUGUGAAGAUACAAGUGGGCAUCACCUCCUUGAUCUUGGUUAGAUCACAGAAACUGCUUUCCAUCUUGGGAAUCAGAGCUGCAAAAUUUUGUCUUACAAAAUUAUGUGACAUAAAAAACCUCUACUAAAGCACACAGAAUUCAAUAACCAUGUAUAUAACCCUCUGGUACCUCCAUUACUACAGUGUUAGAUGGUGUUGAUGCAACACAAGCCAAAAUGGUGAGGUCACUGCUUCACACAGUUAUGAGGUCCAAUAUCCACAAAGAACUUGCACUCACAUGUUAUUGUUCUGGAGUCAGUUAAUGAUUAACGUGGGUUAGCUCCUUGUGCCUUGUUGACAUAAUAUCAGGGUUUCUCAAAAACGUAGGGAUACACAGAGAUACUGUAGGGGUUUUAGAAUAGAUUCUAUUCUUUAGAGUUGGAAAACAAAGAUCUUACAGAAUAUUAAAAAUGUGUUGAAUUCCUGACUCUGCUGCCAAGAAUCAGCCACCAUUUUACAUGUAGUGCCUUGGUAUUUCAGGCCAUGCCUGCCUUGUGUGAUCCCACGCAUGUGCUGAAAAUAAAGAGAAUGGAUAAGGCAGCAGAAACAUGAUUAAGCUUUGAUCUGAAAAGGGAUCCUAACUCUCUUAUGCUGCUGAGAGUUUGUGGACACCAAAGAGAAUAUGGUAAGUUUGCUCAGCAAACUAGAGGUGUGACAUUAAUACAAGUUACCCAACAUUAGAGCCUUCCAUACAGCCACAGCUAAAAUAAAUCUGUUUCCCCACUAAUUAUCUUAAACCCAACAUAGCUAUGUUGCUUCUCCUACUGCCACAUUUUCUUUUGCACUUAAUGAUCUAAUCACAUCCUCCUUUUUCUACAGGGCCUUUGCCUCAUUCAGUGCCCAGGAUGGAUGCGACUCAUUGAAUAGGCAUCUGCAGUCCGACAGUUUGUCUCAGAUUUGCCUGGAGCUGAAGAUACAUCCUUUGAUUAUAUCCCUGGCUCUGCUGCAAAGUUUCUGUGUUAGGGUACUGGACUAGUAACUUCAACCAAACAAAGUGGGCAUGAAAAGCCUCUUAUUUUUUUGCUGUGGGUGUCUGACUGUAAUGACUUGAGAUCUCAUUUGUGAAAGAGCUAAGUGCUUAUUACAUGCAACUGGGGCAGAAUGCUGCAAAAUGCUAAAUACUCUGAAAAAGAGAGACAUUCAGAGGUUGAAAAUUAAAAUUAGUAAAACAGUGUCAUACAUGAUCUCGCCGGACUCCCUUUCCUGUAUCCAAAAUACUUCUUCCAGCAUAGGGACAGUGUGACAAAAAUAAGUAUAUAUCUCAGAAAUGGCAAUUUUGAGGUUUCAAAUCCCCAUUAUGACAAAAGGAAAACCAUUCUCAGGUCUGAAGGGUGGACCUCUGUCUCAUACAGGUUCCAGAUGUUUAGGCUCUCCUAUGUAGCUGCUCAAAUCAGCAGACUUAUGGCACUUCUAAAUCAUUUGUCCACUCAGUUUAACCAAGAAGGCUUUGCCCUUCAUGAUUUAAUCAAAACUGAAAAAUGUCAGCAAAAAACUUAAGUUUUGACAGAUCUUUUCUUGUAAGACAGCUGUUUUGUACACAUUUCCUGUCUGAACUGCUGAGACUAUGGCAGAGCUCUGGGAUGAGUGUGCCAGUCCCACUGUACAAGUUUUUGUUUGCAAGAGUUGUUGCUCUGGGAGUAGCCAAACUAGGCUUGCAAAGGCAUGUCUGGAGUUCAUGUGAACUCUUCUGUAACAGCUACAGAUGCUCCACAGUUCCAGGGGAGCUCUCCUGGCCCAGGUCAUCAUGCCAUGCUACAGACACAGACAGUGACCAAUUUCCUUGGUAAGCCCAGUAACUCUGGGCCAUCCAUCCAACCUCGAGGCCCCCAGGUUUUCCCAGAAGGUUACACUGCUUCAGGCUUAAAGUAGUCAAUGGAUACAACAUUAUAUAAACCAUUUGAAUAAAGCUAGCACCUAUGUAAAUGUCAAAGCUUCAUACCUUCUUCACAUAUAUACAUCCCUGUCCACACCACAUCUGAAUCUCUUAAUUUUUGAAGAAGAAGACUUUAAGUGUCUCAGAGGAGAGAUCACCUGUCCUGCAAGGCUGAUGUCAAAGGGCAGCAAGGAGCAUCCUAACCAGCCCUAUUUAGUAGGCACUACAAAAGCAGGUGCAACCAAAGCUGUUCCAAGGAGAAGAGACACUAAUCUCAUCCCUCUUGGACUCUAGCUGUCGGAAUCUGUGGUAUUGAUGAUUCCAAGAUUGUAAAAAGUCUCUGUCUUUCUGCCCUGCUGCCAAAGAAGAAGUCAUAAUUUGUCUGUGCUGAUUUUCAAGGUUGUUUAUUCUUGCUUAUCUCUAACAUGUUCUGCUGCCCUGCCGCAGGUCUGUCCUGCAGGGCAGCGUGUGGGGCUCUGCCCCUCAGUGGGAUGGUACAAACAUUAUAUACCAGAAACUACGUGUGCUAUAUUUACAAUAAUGUGCCAAUAUCUAUCAUCUACGUUAAACAGCGUGUCCCCAACCUAAACCAACAGAAAAAUGGCAACACUACAGUGAAACAUGGAGGGCAUGAAGAAGGAGAAAAAGGACAAGACACACCCAAUUUCCUCCAUCUUGUCCCCUUUGAACCCCUAAUCUAGAAUCCUAAAAUUUUACUUUUGCACCCAUGCCACACUUAAUUAUUACUCUUAUCAAACACUCAGAGCUUGUAAUUCAUCCUGUAAGAUUGAAAACUCUUUUCCAUGGACAGAGAUCACAGACACUGUCUCUCAGGGCUCUGUACAAGGGGGUUCCUGACCCCCUGCCAGGGUCCCAGACCUUCCAGGGCAGACAGAGGGAAGCCCUGGAUUCCCACACUAGCCAGGUAAUUCUAUAUCCUUUUCCAACAACCCUUUCCACUUUUAGAAGACAACAAAAUUUAGGCAAGGCUACUAGAAGAGACGGAAAGAUUUCAGGAAGCUGUGGCAGCAACUACAGCCUUUGCUGUCUGGGUUCUGUGCACAUCACCUCUAACAGGGAUCAGUGCAACCUGGCAUUUCAAGAAUAUUACUGUGGGAGUGGUUCUCUUCUGCAGCAUGCUACAGUUUCUUGUGCAGAAUCAAAUUUGGGAUCAUUUUGACAUCUGGUCUGCGGCACUCAUCCAUCUGUUGUAACUGAGUAGGUGUUGGGUGGGGUUGACAGGAGAGACUUGUUUAAGUGCUUGUUUUCAUUCUGUAGAGGAAUGGCAGAGCCAGUUCAGUAAUUAAUUAAAUACUCAUUUAAAAAA